RNAcentral lists this long non-coding RNA (388 nucleotides) under Ursus maritimus (polar bear). Its description in RNAcentral is "lncRNA (ENSUMAG00000012916.1)". Lineage: Eukaryota; Metazoa; Chordata; Mammalia; Carnivora; Ursidae. The record is from RNAcentral.
CCCAGCCCUUCGGUCUCACCCCAUCACAUGCUUCCAGGGGCCCUUCAGCCUCUGCAAAAGCCCCACAGGCAGACGUGAGAAGAGAACCUCAGUCACCCAGCCUCAGCCACAGAUGGAAGGAUGCACGGUCCCAGCUCUGACCACCUCCCCCUGCGGACCGGACGGCAGAGCAGGAUUCCCCUGCAGCCUUCUGCGGUGCCCUUCCAGUCCCAGCUCUCCCCAUCCGCAGGUCACAUCCAUUCAGCUUGCUAAUGGUGUUCAGCAGACCCGCACUUGGGAGAGCCCAGGAAGUCGGAAACAGGCCGGUGCCCUCGCACCAGGACGCUCCUUGGUGCUGCGGAGAAGUGAUGGGCAUCUCUCCAUCCAGACUCCUAGAAGCACAGAGUGA